Molecule: ribosomal RNA, 522 nt
Filed under: Triticum aestivum (bread wheat)
Lineage: Eukaryota; Viridiplantae; Streptophyta; Magnoliopsida; Poales; Poaceae
Description: partial small subunit ribosomal RNA
Source: RNAcentral
GUCCUCCUUAAUGGAGUUCCUGGCAGGAAAUUUCAGUGCAAGUGUGGGGUGCGUCAAGGUGAUCCUCUUUCGCCACUGAUCUUUGUUCUCGCCGCUGCUCUCCUUCAAGUUGCUGUUAAUGAUGCCUUUCAUCGACACCUGAUUGACCUUCCAAUUCCCUGCAACCACAAUGGUGAUUUUCCUGUGGUUCAAUACGCCGACGACACGAUCCUAGUGAUGUCUGCCUGCCCUGAACAAGCUGCUAUUAUGAAGCUUAUCCUGGAGGACUAUGCAGCCUCGGUCGGGCUGAAGAUCAACUUCCAUAAAUUUACGUUGAUUCCCAUCAACAUAGACAACCAGCGUACGGUGGAUCUGGCACGGAUUUUUGGCUGCACUGUUGGCUCGCUCCCAUUCACAUACCUAGGUCUGCCGAUGGGUACAACAAGACCGACUUUGCUUGAACUUAUGCCGCUUGUGCAUGGGGUGGAGAGGAAGAUGUCCACAGCACUGUCCCUCAUGUCGUCAGGCGUGGGAGACGUCACC